AACGAACGCUGGCGGCAUGCCUAAUACAUGCAAGUCGAACGAGACCUUCGGGUCUAGUGGCGCAUGGGUGCGUAACGCGAGGGAACAUGCCCUUAGGGGUGGAAUAACUCCCCGAAAGGGGUGCCAACGCGGAACAUUGUCUACGACCGAAAGAUGUAUCGCCUUUGGAUGGGCCCGCGUUGGAUUAGCUUUUUCUAAGGGUAAAAGCCUACCAAGCGGACGAUCAAUAGCUGGUCUAGGAGGAGGAUCAGCCACACUGGGACUGAGACCCGGCCCAGACUCCUACGGGAGGCAGCAGUGGGGAAUGUUGGACAAUGGGCGGAAGCAUGAUCCAGCAAUGCCGCGUGAAUGAUGAAGGCCUUAGGGUUGUAAAGCUCUUUUACCCGGGAUGAUAAUGACAGUACCGGAAGAAUAAGCUCCGGCUAACUCCGUG
Molecule: ribosomal RNA, 433 nt
Filed under: uncultured bacterium
Lineage: Bacteria
Description: partial 16S ribosomal RNA
Rfam family: Bacterial small subunit ribosomal RNA
Source: RNAcentral